Molecule: ribosomal RNA, 26 nt
Filed under: Actaea cordifolia
Lineage: Eukaryota; Viridiplantae; Streptophyta; Magnoliopsida; Ranunculales; Ranunculaceae
Description: partial 18S ribosomal RNA
Source: RNAcentral
UUCGUAGUGACCUGCGGAGGUCAUUG